UGAGGAACAUGACCUUCGGCGGGGGAUAGCCGGCCCAACGGCCGGGUAAUACCGCGUACGACCACAUGGGGACAUCCCCGAGUGGUGAAAGCAGCAAUGCGCCGAUGGAGUGCCUCGCGGCCUAUCAGCUAGUUGGUGGGGUAACGGCUCACCAAGGCAACGGCGGGUAGCUGGUCUGAGAGGAUGGCCAGCCACAUUGGGACUGAGACACGGCCCAGACCUCCGUACGGGAGCAG
This 236-nucleotide ribosomal RNA is filed under the name uncultured bacterium. Its description in RNAcentral is "partial 16S ribosomal RNA". It matches the Rfam family "Bacterial small subunit ribosomal RNA", at positions 118 to 347 of the family's 1533-position model. The record is from RNAcentral.